RNAcentral lists this ribosomal RNA (513 nucleotides) under uncultured bacterium. RNAcentral describes it as "bacterial SSU rRNA". It matches the Rfam family "Bacterial small subunit ribosomal RNA", at positions 28 to 524 of the family's 1533-position model. The record is from RNAcentral.
GACGAACGCUGGCGGCGUGCCUAAUACAUGCAAGUCGAGCGGACCAAAGGGAGCUUGCUCCUGGAGGUUAGCGGCGAACGGGUGAGUAACACGUGGGCAACCUGCCUGUAAGACUGGGAUAACAUCGAGAAAUCGGUGCUAAUACCGGAUAAUAAAAAGAACUGCAUGGUUCUUUUUUGAAAGAUGGUUUCGGCUAUCACUUACAGAUGGGCCCGCGGCGCAUUAGCUAGUUGGUGAGGUAACGGCUCACCAAGGCAACGAUGCGUAGCCGACCUGAGAGGGUGAUCGGCCACACUGGGACUGAGACACGGCCCAGACUCCUACGGGAGGCAGCAGUAGGGAAUCUUCCGCAAUGGACGAAAGUCUGACGGAGCAACGCCGCGUGAGUGAUGAAGGUUUUCGGAUCGUAAAACUCUGUUGUUAGGGAAGAACAAGUGCCGUUCGAAAGGGCGGCACCUUGACGGUACCUAACGAGAAAGCCACGGCUAACUACGUGCCAGCAGCCGCGGUAAA